UGUGGGUUCUGGGUUCUGCAUCUGUGGAUUCAACCAACCAGGAAUCAAAAAUACUUGGAAGAAACCGAAUGGAUGGUUGUGUCUGUGUUGAACAUGUACAGAAUUUAUUUGUUAUUAUUCCCUAAAUGAUACAGUAUGAAAUUGCAUCUGCAAAGUCCCUUUUGCCAUAGAAGUUACACUCCCAGGUUUCAGGGCCAAGGACAUGGGCAUUUCAGGAGACCAUGACUGAGCAGGGGCCUGGGGCUUUAGGAAGUGAGCAGUGGUGUGGCCUCAAAGAGAGCAGUUAGACUUCCCAAGCCCAAGUGGGGUGGAUUUCUCCUUCCAUCCCCUUCCAUUGCAGCACCCUGUCAAUAACAGGAUUCUCAUGGGACACCCAGAGACCAAGCCCUAAGCUAUGAGGCUAAUGGUCUUUGCAUCCAAGCUUUGCUCAGAAAGGACGUGCUGGCCAACAUGGUGAAACCACAUCUCUACUAAAAAUACAAAAAUUAGCCGGGCAUGGUGGCAAUGUCCUGUAAUCCCAGCUACUUGGGAGGCUGAAGCAGGAGAAUUGCUUGAACCUGGCAGGCGGAGGCUGCAGUGAGCUGAGAUUGUGCCACUGCACUCCAACCUAGGCAACAGAGCGAAACUCUGUCUCAAAAAAACCAAAAAAUAAAAUAAAAAAAUAAAAAAUAAAAAAUAAAGGCUAUGAAGCCAUCUUACUCCCAUCAAAAACAGAACUUCCUGUUCUAUGCAAAGCAAAACAUGAUCCUCUAACGUUUCAGUGACUUCCUCUGGGCACAUUUGGGGGCUGUCAGAGGUGCUGCUAUGACUAUAGACAUUCUCAUUCUCUUAACAAGUUUUCUUUGGCUAUGAGGGACUAAGUUAGACAUCAUAGAAGAACAAAGAAAACAUGUCUAGGAGACUGGUUUUUCCAGUGAACUAGGUUGAAUGUACUAUAAAAGUGAGGCAAACACAGCAAGCUAGGUGUCAGACCCACUGAGACCAGCGGGCCCCAAGACCUUUUCCACUAUAUCUGGCUGCUUCUCAGAAGAAAGAAGAAUAUGUUCAAAAAAGUACAUCUCCACCCACUCUUACAGAAGUGAUGAAACCUAAAAGGUUAAAUUUUAUGAAUUUUAAGAAAUCUAUGAAUUUAUAUUAUGCAAAGAUACAAUUUUAUCCCACUUCUAAUGAACAUUUAAUGUUGGGUUCACUAUAAAGACUAAAGUUAGGGCUGGACCCGGUGGCUCACACCUGUAAUCCCAGCACUUUGGGAGGCUGAGGUGGGCGGACCGCUUCAGCUCAGGAGUUUGAGACCAGCUUGGGCAACAUGGUGAAACCCCACCUCUAUAAAAAAAUACAAAAAUUAGCCGGGCAUGGUGGUGCAUGCCUGUGGUCCCAGCUACUUGGGGGGCUGAGGUGGGAGGAUUGUUUGAGCCCGGGAGGGAGGUCGAGGCUGCAGUGAGCCACGCUUGUGCCACUGCAGUCCUGCCUGGGUGACAAAGUGAGACCCUGUCUCAAAAAGCAACAACAAUAAAAAACAAAACCGACUAAAGUUAGGAGUUGUCAGGUUCUCCAUGGGAAGAUCAUCACAGUUCAGUGUAACAGCUAAUGAGCACUUAAGCGUGCCAGGGAGGGUGCUAAGCAGUCUCAUCACAAAAUAGGGGAAAUAAUAGUGCCCACCUCAUGGUGCUGUUGUGAAGAUGUACGUAGUACACGCAAAAUAUAUAUAGUCAUGUCAGCACAUAUUAAAUAUUUAAUAUGUGUCAGCUAUUGCUAUUAUCAUCAUUAUUCUUGCUUCUUUUCUCUUAUUUUGCAAUUAUAUAUCAAGGUAAACCACGCCCUCCCUACCCCCCACCAAAAGAGAAAAGGACAGUUGCAGCUGUUUCCUUGGAGGAAUCAGUCUAGACAAUCACAAAUGGCACUAAAAAAUAAUACCUGUCCACGGAGCUGAUAAACAUGCAGACCUGCCAUGAUCACCUCUCCUCUGGACAACUGCAAACAGCUUCCUAACUGGUGCGCCUGCAUCUACUCUCACUGUACCACACAUUUGUUUGCUACUCUAAAGCCAGAGGGCCGCCCUUGGUCCCCUUUGCUAAGGACAAGGAGCAAACUCCUUCAGCAGCCGCUACAUGGUCUCGCCAUGCCCUCCUCUCCAGCCUCAUCUUCCACUUGGUCCCUGGCUUUCUGCUACGGUGCCAUUAGCUCCUUCCAGCCCGCUAAUGCACUGUGCUCCCCUCAUCAUGCAGCUCUCUCACGAUAGAAUGCCUGUGGUUCUCCUGAUGCCCCUUGUCUAGUGAAUUCUGACUUGUCUUUCAGAUCUUAACUCACCCAUUUCCUCCUCUGGGAGACCCUGGCUGGCCCCAGGGAUGGGCUGACCUUCUGUCAUCUGCCACUUGGUGCUCAGCACCUUCUCUUGCAUACUCA
RNAcentral lists this long non-coding RNA (2403 nucleotides) under Homo sapiens (human). Its description in RNAcentral is "non-protein coding lnc-PIGN-5:1". The stretch from base 1346 to 1497 matches the Rfam family "Metazoan signal recognition particle RNA". The record is from RNAcentral. Lineage: Eukaryota; Metazoa; Chordata; Mammalia; Primates; Hominidae.